RNAcentral lists this transfer RNA (69 nucleotides) under Filchnerella sunanensis. Its description in RNAcentral is "tRNA-Asp". It matches the Rfam family "tRNA". From Rfam's summary of the family: Transfer RNA (tRNA) molecules are approximately 80 nucleotides in length. Their secondary structure includes four short double-helical elements and three loops (D, anti-codon, and T loops). Lineage: Eukaryota; Metazoa; Arthropoda; Insecta; Orthoptera; Pamphagidae. The record is from RNAcentral.
AAGGAGUUAGUUAAAUUAAUAUAACAUUAGAGUGUCAAUCUAAAAUUACUAAUAAACUAGUACACCUUG